Small nuclear RNA from Cervus hanglu yarkandensis (Yarkand deer), 148 nucleotides. Its record names the gene U4. It matches the Rfam family "U4 spliceosomal RNA". From Rfam's summary of the family: U4 small nuclear RNA (U4 snRNA) is a component of the major U2-dependent spliceosome. The structure of U4 snRNA from yeast and human has been reported. U4 snRNA presents a k-turn RNA motif in the 5p-SL related to recognition of Snu13 protein. Lineage: Eukaryota; Metazoa; Chordata; Mammalia; Artiodactyla; Cervidae. The record is from Ensembl.
AGCUUUGCGCAGUGGCAGUGAGGUAGCCAAUGAGGUUUAUCCAAGGCGCGAUUAUUGCUAAUUGAAAACUAAAAAAACAGAAUUCUAAUUUCACAUUUUAGUUGACAGGAGGCAGAUUUUUAAUCUAUUUUCCGUACUUAACAAAAAC